Molecule: unclassified non-coding RNA, 345 nt
Filed under: soil metagenome
Description: partial contains 5.8S ribosomal RNA, internal transcribed spacer 2, and large subunit ribosomal RNA
Rfam family: 5.8S ribosomal RNA (bases 1-120)
Source: RNAcentral
GAUGAAGAACGCAGCGAAAUGCGAUAAGUAAUGUGAAUUGCAGAAUUCAGUGAAUCAUCGAAUCUUUGAACGCACAUUGCGCCCUUUGGUAUUCCGGGGGGCAUGCCUGUCCGAGCGUCAUUGCUGCCCUCAAGCACGGCUUGUGUGUUGGGCCUCCGUCCUCCUCCCGGGGGACGGGCCCGAAAGGCAGCGGCGGCACCGCGUCCGGUCCUCGAGCGUAUGGGGCUUCGUCACCCGCUCUUGUAGGCCCGGCCGGCGCUUGCCGACACAUCAAUCUUUUUUCCAGGUUGACCUCGGAUCAGGUAGGGAUACCCGCUGAACUUAAGCAUAUCAAUAAGCGGAGGA